Molecule: ribosomal RNA, 571 nt
Filed under: Enterococcus faecium
Lineage: Bacteria; Bacillati; Bacillota; Bacilli; Lactobacillales; Enterococcaceae
Description: bacterial SSU rRNA
Rfam family: Bacterial small subunit ribosomal RNA
Source: RNAcentral
GGAUUAGAUACCCUGGUAGUCCACGCCGUAAACGAUGAGUGCUAAGUGUUGGAGGGUUUCCGCCCUUCAGUGCUGCAGCUAACGCAUUAAGCACUCCGCCUGGGGAGUACGACCGCAAGGUUGAAACUCAAAGGAAUUGACGGGGGCCCGCACAAGCGGUGGAGCAUGUGGUUUAAUUCGAAGCAACGCGAAGAACCUUACCAGGUCUUGACAUCCUUUGACCACUCUAGAGAUAGAGCUUCCCCUUCGGGGGCAAAGUGACAGGUGGUGCAUGGUUGUCGUCAGCUCGUGUCGUGAGAUGUUGGGUUAAGUCCCGCAACGAGCGCAACCCUUAUUGUUAGUUGCCAUCAUUCAGUUGGGCACUCUAGCAAGACUGCCGGUGACAAACCGGAGGAAGGUGGGGAUGACGUCAAAUCAUCAUGCCCCUUAUGACCUGGGCUACACACGUGCUACAAUGGGAAGUACAACGAGUUGCGAAGUCGCGAGGCUAAGCUAAUCUCUUAAAGCUUCUCUCAGUUCGGAUUGCAGGCUGCAACUCGCCUGCAUGAAGCCGGAAUCGCUAGUAAUCGCG